AACGCACGAGACCUGCGGACCUGCGGAAGGAUCAUUAUUGAAUUUAUCCAAAGAAAAAUUUGUGCUUGUCUUUUUCUUUUUCUUGAAAGAGAGGAGACAGCACAUUUUUUUCUAUCAAACAAACGAUCACAACUAUAAAUUGUGUAAUUUGAUUUGAAAAGUGUUUGCCUGAUAAUCAAGAUGAUUUGGUUUGAGAAAGAAAAUACAACUUUUAACAACGGAUCUCUAGAUCGGAAGAGC
This 240-nucleotide unclassified non-coding RNA is filed under the name soil metagenome. Its description in RNAcentral is "partial contains 5.8S ribosomal RNA, internal transcribed spacer 2, and large subunit ribosomal RNA". The record is from RNAcentral.